CCUGGUGGCUUAAAGGGUAAAGAGUCUGCCUGCAAUGCAGGAGACCCGGGUUCGAUCCCUGGGUCAGGA
Molecule: transfer RNA, 69 nt
Filed under: Ovis aries (sheep)
Lineage: Eukaryota; Metazoa; Chordata; Mammalia; Artiodactyla; Bovidae
Rfam family: tRNA
About the family: Transfer RNA (tRNA) molecules are approximately 80 nucleotides in length. Their secondary structure includes four short double-helical elements and three loops (D, anti-codon, and T loops).
Source: Rfam by way of RNAcentral